CAGUAUCUCGUAAACGUCUGAUGAAGAAGUACAUGUUACAAGGCUUAUACGUCAAAUCUAUAGAACACCUGAAUAUAACUGACUUCCCAAUAUUUCAAUAUUCCAGGUCCCAUAGCUAUAUCGGAUGUCGAUUAAUACGAAACAUGAGAAGUCAAUCAAUCGAUAUGUUCAAUGGCACGUAAUCUUGAUAAAAGCUGUACAAACUUGCAGUCCUUUCCUUGUUUAUAACGGGAAAUUGAAUACUUUGUAAUUAAAUUGUAGAAACAGAAGCAAUAAAAUGUUGCGUGGCCUGUCGCAAUAACGUAACGAAUCGAUAUAAUGGUUGCCACAGAUUAAUUAAUUAAUAUCAAUCCCGCGAUCCUCCAUCGCAGCUGUCUUUAUUUCCGCGUAGUUUGUAUCGAAUUCGUCGCGUUUCAUCGUGAGAAAUCUUCAGCCGUUCCAAAAGUUUCGUAAAGAUUAAUCCUUCAUAAUUGAAGAGCGGAAGUAGAUAAAGUUGCCAGUAUCGAAACUAAAGUUUUCUGGGAAACGACUGUUUAUGAGAAAUUGUUUGUUUAUGGGAAUGUUAUUUAUUAGAAAAAUAUAACGAUACUUAUUUAUUACGCAUAUUAUAAUACUUUAUAUAAUUUUACGAUAUCUCUAUUCUAUCGUUUCAAAGAUCUGUUAAUUAACGAUAAAAAAAAUAUCUUCUUUAUAUCUUAAGAGAAGAUAUGUAAGUCCAUUAUGUAGUUUGCUUAAGAAGGUCAGUAGAGAUUUUCUUAUCUGAUGGGAUAAUUGAGGCAGAUUUAUCUACGCACAUGUUCAAGCACGAUGGAGGGAGUUUGCUGGCACAUGGUGCACACAGUCUAAUUUAGGGAACUAAUCGUAUAACAUACAUCAUACACAACCUAUAUCACGUAUGAAACGUUAAAAACUGUACGAAUUAUUAUGAUUACACUUCCCUUCAUAUUUAGUGAUAAUAACCUUCAUACAAACAACCUCUUCAAGGAAAAACAAAAUUCUUUUUCGAAAAUGGCACUUCCAAUUCUUCUUAUUCUCACUAUUUAAUUGCUAGCCGUAUCAAGUAACAACGAAAAAAAUAAUAAUAUCUAAACGUUAAGCAGGUCCAUAUUUUGGGGGAUACAAUUAAAAAAGUAAAUCGUCGGUGGAAUAUUGUUUCACCUAUCAAGAAUUUUGGAAGAUAUAAUUAGAAAGGUACAACCUGGGUAGAAAAUUGUACUCCUUAUCGAGCAUUUUUGAAAAUAUAAUUGAGAAAGUGGAAUCUGGAUAGAAAAUUGUUUUACCUACGAAGCAUUAUAAAAAUCCUCCCGUUGGUAACGGAUUCGUUAUCAAGCCUGAGGCCCUCGUCACUAGUGUAACUAUCGACAAUAAAGGUACCCCACGCGCGACCGGGCGAUGGAGAACUUCAACGCAGAACCGCUACCUCCCGCGAGCCUUCCCCGGGAGGGCGCCUCGAGCUCGGACUCGGAAUGUGACUCGAGCUCGGAUUCGGAUUCAGACUCGACAUCAGAAGUGGCAUCCGAACACACGUUGUCGGCACGGGAUCGUAAGAGUAUCGUGCGCGCACUAAAGCGGUCGCUAGGGAAGAAGAAGAGGAAGAAGAAGAAGAAAGGA
This is a long non-coding RNA of Bombus huntii, 1611 nucleotides long. RefSeq lists it as uncharacterized. The transcript has 2 exons. The record is from RefSeq and is a predicted model, not a curated record. Lineage: Eukaryota; Metazoa; Arthropoda; Insecta; Hymenoptera; Apidae.